This is a small nucleolar RNA of Elaeis guineensis (African oil palm), 106 nucleotides long. Lineage: Eukaryota; Viridiplantae; Streptophyta; Magnoliopsida; Arecales; Arecaceae. The record is from RefSeq and is a predicted model, not a curated record.
AUCGCAUGGUGAGGGCACUUGUAGAUGAGAUCUUUGAGCCUCUCCUAAGUUUCAUGAAAUAUUUUUCCAUCCAUUUGGAAAAAAUUGGUUAUGGUUUUUCUGAUUU